UUUCAACUGGCAUUGGUAUCCCUAUAUACAUUCUAUGAGUUUUUGUAGCCUAACUACAAUACGCCACAUGUCACUGAUCUUGAAUUACCUCUCUCCAGUUUUCAACUGUUAAACCUAAAUAUCGUCUUCCUUCACGUCAAUCUAUUUUUCCUUGGGAUUUCCAUUCCAUUACAGUCCUAACUGUCGUUUUCUUCUAUUCCCAUUAUGUAACCUAAUCAAUAAAACCGUAUCCUUUGUCCUUUAACGAAGUUUGUCACUGGUGCUAGUUUCACUAUAUCGUACAGUGUUUUAUUAAACCUCGUUCACCCUGUUACUUUAUCGAUAGCAGUUUUAUAUAUUUUUAAUAUUAUAAUUUUAAAGUUAUCAUAAAAUAUAUUAUAAUAUCAGUGAUAAUUUAAAUAAGUACCUAUCUAUCAAUAUAUUAACAGUUAAUCAUAUUGCUAGGUGUAACUCUAUUAUAUUUUUUCUGUAACUAUACUUAAGUUUUACAGUUUUAUAACUCCAUCCUUUCAUCACUUGUAUACUUACUCAAACUAUAAUUAGUUUCAUUAUU
Molecule: non-coding RNA, 553 nt
Organism: Cinara cedri
Lineage: Eukaryota; Metazoa; Arthropoda; Insecta; Hemiptera; Aphididae
Source: the annotation of a GenBank genome assembly